GCUGGUGCUGCUGCUGCCCGGGAGCCCGGCCCGCGGCCCGGCGCGCAGGAGGAGGCAGGAGCUGGUGCUGGGGCAGCUCUGCUUGCUCGGCUCGCUCCUGCUGCUGCUCUCCUCGCUCUCCUGCUGGGCUGGCAGCGCCGGUUAUGAUGUCCUGAGUUAUACCAUGGAAACUAAUGACAAGUGGCAUGGGAGAAAAGUACUUCAAGCAAUUGAGGAGAAUGCCACUGAAAUUCCAGAGGAUGACGAGCAUCAGUACAUCAAGAACUGCACUGAACCAGGUACCUUGGGCAGAUGUCUGUGUUGUUGAAACGUCAUGCAAGAUUUUUUCCAUGGGUACAAAAUUGAAGUGGACAGAGAGUUAUGCUACUCAGAUGUUUGCUAUUACAAAAGGUUUAUAAACUUGCAGUGGUGAAGUUAAGGCAUAGCACUAAGUUAUGAAUAGCACUAAAAGUUUUUAAGACACCCGUUAUUUAAUAGGCUUUACUUUAGCAUAUGAGUAAAUCCCACAACUACUAAGGGGCCUUCUCAUAUGAAUAAAGAUAUAAAUGUGUGUGUAAAUGUUCCCA
This 566-nucleotide long non-coding RNA is filed under the name Crocodylus porosus (Australian saltwater crocodile). RNAcentral describes it as "lncRNA (ENSCPRG00005010204.1)". Lineage: Eukaryota; Metazoa; Chordata; Crocodylia; Crocodylidae. The record is from RNAcentral.